CGGGAAACUGAGGAUAAUGUUUCAUGGCUGAAUUGGCUUGGAAAAGUUUUUCAGCAAAAGGGAUAAGAAAAAUGGUUUUUGUCUGCUAUAGGAUAGGAUCGUGUUCGAUUAUGGUUGUUGGUGAGGUAAUGGCUCACCAAGCCGAUAAUCGAUAGGGGCCGUGAGAGCGGGAGCCCCGAGAUGGGUACUGAGACAACGACCCAGGCCUUACGAGGCGCAGCAGGCGCGAGACCUCCACAAUACACGAAAGUGUGAUGGGGUUACCCAAAGUGUUCAACUUUGAACUGUGGUAGGUGAGUAAUGUUCCCUACUAGAAAGGAGAGGGCAAGGCUGGUGCCAGCCGCCGCGGUAAAACCAGCUCUUCAAGUGGUCGGGAUAAUUAUUGGGCUUAAAGUGUCCGUAGCCGGUUUAGUAAGUUCCUGGUAAAAUCGGGUAGCUUAACUAUCUAUAUGCUAGGAAUACUGCUAUACUAGAGGGCGGGAGAGGUCUGAGGUACUACAGGGGUAGGGGUGAAAUCUU
This 519-nucleotide ribosomal RNA is filed under the name uncultured archaeon. RNAcentral's name for it is "bacterial SSU rRNA". It matches the Rfam family "Archaeal small subunit ribosomal RNA", at positions 133 to 641 of the family's 1478-position model. The record is from RNAcentral.